This 255-nucleotide ribosomal RNA is filed under the name uncultured bacterium. Its description in RNAcentral is "partial 16S ribosomal RNA". It matches the Rfam family "Bacterial small subunit ribosomal RNA", at positions 524 to 776 of the family's 1533-position model. The record is from RNAcentral.
UACGAAGGGGGGCUAGCGUUGCUCGGAAUUACUGGGCGUAAAGCGAGUGUAGGUGGUUGUCACAGUCAGGUGUGAAAGCCUUGAGCUCAACUCAAGAAAUGCACUUGAUACUAGGCGACUAGAGGACCGGAGAGGAUAGUGGAAUUCCCAGUGUAGUGGUGAAAUACGUAGAGAUUGGGAAGAACACCAGUGGCGAAGGCGGCUAUCUGGACGGUUUCUGACACUAAGACUCGAAAGCGUGGGGGAGCAAACAGG